Nerophis ophidion (straightnose pipefish) is the source of this 864-nucleotide long non-coding RNA. RefSeq lists it as uncharacterized. The transcript is spliced from 3 exons. NCBI's taxonomy places the organism in Eukaryota, Metazoa, Chordata, Actinopteri, Syngnathiformes, Syngnathidae. The record is from RefSeq and is a predicted model, not a curated record.
UAUUUUGACAAACUGCCUGCGGGAACUUGUGACGUCACAGCUCGCUAAUGUUGGCCCGAGUUCCUAGUUCUUGUCUGAAAAGAACUGAACGCCUUGCGGUGCCGAUCGAUUGAAGUGAUCGAUCAGGAGCAUCGUGUGUGCGCACGUCAAAGGUCAAAAAGAAAAGAAAAAGGUGGACAUCAGUGAGGUGCGAGUGCAAAACCCGCUCAUAGAAAACAAAUCUGAGAAUGAGGCGCCAGGCGUGGAAGUGGUCCCACCAGGACGCCCGUUGGUGGUGACGCAGCCCUCGUCGGAGGACGCCACCACGGACGUUCCCGAGGAGAACAAGGACGAUCCGAGCGAUCGACUCCUCACGGUAAACGGCAACUACGUGAUGCAGGAGAACGGGAAAGCCGAAGUCCUCUCCUGCCAGGAGUCCCAAAACGGGACUUUGAUGAGCGAAAUGUCUUUGUCGCCAUGACGACCACGUCAUUUAGGACCGUGACGCCGAUAAUUGAAGGCAAUUUUUGUCAUCUGAGUUAAGUUAAAGUACCCAUGAUUGUCACACACACACCAGGUGUGGCAAAUUCACCCUUGAUCACCCCCUCCCUGGGAGGUGAGGGGAGCAGUGAGCAGCAGCGGUGGCCGCGCCCGGGAAUGUUUUUUGGUGAUUCAACCCCCAAUUCCAACCCUUGAUGCUGAGUGUCAAGCAGGGAGGUAACGGGUCCCAUUUUUAUAGUCUUUGGUUGAUGUGAGAAAGUGAUGGCUAAUGCUAAUGCUAAAGCUAACUUGCUUGGUUUACUCGUCCUCACCAACAAGGUACAUGUACACUAUUCUAUUCUACUUGUAAAAAGUCAGUUUUGUUUGCUAAAAUACUUGACUAGG